AGGAUAAUAGUUAUUAAUAAUAUCUAACUUGCACUUAGAAGGUACUGAAUCAGUUUAUCUUA
Molecule: transfer RNA, 62 nt
Filed under: Trachys variolaris
Lineage: Eukaryota; Metazoa; Arthropoda; Insecta; Coleoptera; Buprestidae
Description: tRNA-Ala
Source: RNAcentral